RNAcentral lists this ribosomal RNA (605 nucleotides) under uncultured fungus. RNAcentral's name for it is "eukaryotic LSU rRNA". The stretch from base 73 to 226 matches the Rfam family "5.8S ribosomal RNA". The record is from RNAcentral. Lineage: Eukaryota; Fungi.
UGGUCUGACCCGCCUAUGCUCUUAUAAACGCUUCAGUUAUAGAAUGUUAAUCGCGUAUAACGCAUUAUAUACAACUUUCAGCAACGGAUCUCUUGGCUCUCGCAUCGAUGAAGAACGCAGCGAAAUGCGAUAAGUAAUGUGAAUUGCAGAAUUCAGUGAAUCAUCGAAUCUUUGAACGCACCUUGCGCUCCUUGGUAUUCCGAGGAGCAUGCCUGUUUGAGUGUCAUGGUAUUCUCAAUCCCCUAAAUCUUUGCGGAUUCAGGUGGUAUUGGAUUUGGAGGCCUUGCCGGCGUGUUCAACAUCGGCUCCUCUUAAAUGUAUUAGCAGGAAUGUUACUGCAAUCUCCUCAGCGUGAUAAUUGUCUACGUUGUGGUGAGGCGGUAUAUAUAUGUUCAUGCUUACAAUCGUCCUCGCGGACAAUUCUUUUGACAUCUGACCUCAAAUCAGGUAGGACUACCCGCUGAACUUAAGCAUAUCAAUAAGCGGAGGAAAAGAAACUAACAAGGAUUCCCCUAGUAACUGCGAGUGAAGCGGGAAAAGCUCAAAUUUAAAAUCUGAUAGUCUUUGGCUGUCCGAGUUGUAAUCUGGAGAAGCGUCUUCCGCGC